RNAcentral lists this long non-coding RNA (787 nucleotides) under Rattus norvegicus (Norway rat). RNAcentral describes it as "long non-coding RNA NONRATT016473". The record is from RNAcentral. Lineage: Eukaryota; Metazoa; Chordata; Mammalia; Rodentia; Muridae.
GCAAAGAAGAAGUUCAGUGCACUAGAGAUCUCUCUGAUUGUCCUCUUCAUCAUAGUAACAGCAAUAGCUAUUGCUCUUGUCGCUGUUUUAGCAACCAAGGUGCCAGCUGUGGAAGAAAUAAAAAGUCCAACUCCAACUUCAAAUUCAACUCCAACUUCAACUCCAACUUCAACUUCAAUCCCAACUUCAACUUCAACCCCUAGUCCUGGGAAGUGUCCUCCUGAACAAGGUGAACCUAUCAAUGAGAGAAUUAACUGCAUUCCAGAACAACAUCCAACAAAGGUCUGCCAAAAAUGCUCGGGAUGAUUUUAGAAAUAUAAACAGCAUUUUAUGAAGAUAUUUGCUCAAUAUAGAAUAAUUCCAUAUUAUUAAAGAUCUGAACAUAAACUUCACUUAUGUUCCCAAUACUUUUGUGUAUAAAUUUGUGAUUGAAUUGAUUUUAAUGAGCCUCCUUUCAAUUCCUUUGGUUAUUUCAAAUUAAAAGUUCACUGUCCAUGCAUACUCAACAGGCUAUAUAACAAGCUUUCCUGAAAAUGCUUUCCUGAAAAUGUUAUUGCUGUCUUCUACUCCUCAGUGUUCAGAACCUUAAGUCACACUUACAUGUUUUACAUUGCACUCUUUGUAGUGGGGGGGGGGGGAGUCUAGGAAGAAUUUCUAGACAAUUAUCUAUGACUCACUUUUCUAAACAUAUGUGUAUUUUAUUAUAUGAAAAUAAGUGGAGAAGCCUGUUGGAUUCAUGUAACCAUACAUUGACUCAGACUUUUUAAUUCAUAAAUUUGGUGAAAAC